RNAcentral lists this long non-coding RNA (621 nucleotides) under Salmo salar (Atlantic salmon). RNAcentral's name for it is "lncRNA (ENSSSAG00000105356.1)". The record is from RNAcentral. Lineage: Eukaryota; Metazoa; Chordata; Actinopteri; Salmoniformes; Salmonidae.
CAGGGGGUACUGGUACAGAGUCAAUGUGGAGGCUAUAUACAGGGGGUACUGGUACAGAGUCAAUGUGGAGGCUAUAUACAGGGGGUACCGGUACAGAGUCAAUGUGGAGGCUAUAUACAGGGGUACUGGUACAGAGUCAAUGUGGAGGCUAUAUACAGGGGGUACUGGUACAGAGUCAAUGUGGAGGCUAUAUACAGGAGGUACCGGUACAGAGUCAAUGUGGAAGCUAUAUACAGGGGGUACUGGUACAGAGUCAAUGUGGAGGCUAUAUACAGGGGUACCGGUACAGAGUCAAUGUGGAGGCUAUAUACAGGGGUACCGGUACAGAGUCAAUGUGGAGGCUAUAUACAGGGGGUACCUGUACAGAGUCAAUGUGGAGGCUCUAUACAGAGGUACUGGUACAGAGUCAAUGUGGAGGCUAUAUACAGGGGUACCGGUACAGAGUCAAUGUGGAGGCUAUAUAAGUAAUAUGUACAUGUAGGUGGAGUUGUUAAAGUGACUAUGCAUAGAUAAUAACAGAGUAGCAGCAGCAUAGAAGAGGGGGGGGGAGACAAUGCAAAUAGUCUGUAAAGCCAUUUGAUAAAAUUUUCAGGAGUCUUAUGUCUUGGGGGUAGAAGCUGU